RNAcentral lists this non-coding RNA (30 nucleotides) under Mus musculus (house mouse). The record is from RNAcentral. Lineage: Eukaryota; Metazoa; Chordata; Mammalia; Rodentia; Muridae.
UAGGUGACCCCUGUGAAAAGGUUGUUUGAC